AGAGUUUGAUCAUGGCUCAGGAUGAACGCUGGCGGUGUGGAUAAGGCAUGCAAGUUGAACGGGAUUAAUCACACGGAAGCAUUGAGCAAGUUUGAGUAGCAAUACGAUGGCAAGCAAGAUGUGGAAGAGUGACAAUCUAGUAGCAAACGAGGUAGUAAUAUUUAGGAACGUCCCCCAGAGUCGCGAAUAGCCCACCGAAAGGUGGAGUAAUACGCGAUGGUCUCGCAAGAGUAAAGAUUUAUCGCUCUGGGAACGGCCUGAACGGUAUCAGCUAGUUGGUAAGGUAAAAGCUUACCAAGGCUAUGACGCCUAGGAGAGCUGAGAGGCUGACCUCCACCGAUGGGACUGAGACACGGCCCAUACACCUACGGGUGGCUGCAGUCGAGAAUCUUCCGCAAUGGGCGAAAGCCUGACGGAGCGACACCGCGUGAUGGAUGAAGUGCUUCGGUAUGUAAACAUCUUUUAUAGGGGAAGAAGUAUAUUGACGGUACCCUAUGAAUAAGGACCUGCCAAACUCGUGCCAGCAGCAGCGGUAAUACGAGUGGUCCAAGCGUUAUCCGGAAUUAUUGGGCGUAAAGCGUGCGUAGGUGGAAUUAUUAGUCGGGUGUUUAACCCACGGGCUCAACCUGUGGAUUGCAUUCGAAACGGUAAUUCUCGAGGAAGUGAGAGGUUUGCGGAACUCAUAGUGUAGGGGUGAAAUCCGUUGAUAUUAUGGGGAACACCAAAAGCGAAGGCAGCAAACUAACACUCUCCUGACACUGAGGCACGAAAGCGUGGGUAGCGAAUGGGAUUAGAUACCCCAGUAGUCCACGCCCUAAACGUUGCAGACUCGCUAUUUGAAGUAUCGACCCUUCAAGUGGCUAAGCUAACGCGGUAAGUCUGCCGCCUGGGAAGUACGAUCGCAAGAUUAAAACUCAAAGGAAUUGACGG
RNAcentral lists this ribosomal RNA (930 nucleotides) under uncultured bacterium. RNAcentral describes it as "bacterial SSU rRNA". It matches the Rfam family "Bacterial small subunit ribosomal RNA", at positions 8 to 916 of the family's 1533-position model. The record is from RNAcentral.